Molecule: non-coding RNA, 1703 nt
Organism: Phalacrocorax carbo (great cormorant)
Lineage: Eukaryota; Metazoa; Chordata; Aves; Suliformes; Phalacrocoracidae
Source: RefSeq, a predicted model, not a curated record
UGCCCCGCCCCGGGGCCCGCCAUUGCCCACCGGGUGGCGUGAGGGGCCGGCCGACGAGCCGGGGUCGGCUACACCCGCGCGCUCCGCUGAGCUGUUCGUUGCGGCCACCCUGUCCCGAGGCCGGCGGUUUAUGUUGCCUCAGCACCUUCUCCUGGCGAUCACCUUCUCUUCGUGAAAGGGGAUGGCCGGAUGAGCUGCUCCCCUGAGGAGCUCGCUCCGCAGUUAACGGCUGCCCCAGCCUCCAGUGGACGAGCUCGGCCCCGUAGGGGUGUGUGUGUGAUGGGAUGUGGUGACAGUAGGCCCAAGUGUUGGCCAAGUGUCGCAGCAGCCCUGGAAGCCAUCUGUGGGGCAGUUUUCCCCCUCUUCCAGCAGUUACCAUUAUCCCGUUUGCUCUGGGCCACAGAAGGUGCUGCUCCUUCAGCUCCCAUCAAGGAGGUUGGCUGUUGCCCACACCAACUGCAUGCCUGUGGCCUGCAAUGGAUGACACCAUGAUCCUUGUGCUGCUACCAUGAGUCUUUUUGUGGCAGCGUUCAUCCCUGUAGAUCUAGGUAAUUCCAGCCUCCGAUGCAGAAUUCAGUACCCAAAAUCAUGCUGCCACCCUUGCCAGCCUGAUGGCCCGAGCUGCUCCGUUCCUCAGUGUGGCGUUUCGCUAAGGUUAACGCCUCGCAGUUACCACCCGACAAGCAAAACAUCUGUUCAAACACAGCAGGUUCAAACACCUCCCUCCGUACUGAAGCAGAGAGCAUGAGAGUUGGCUCUCGAAGAGGCCUUGACAUGGGACAAGCACAGGCUGGUACAAAAGGACUUUGAGCUGUUUGCAGACGGAGCUGGUUGUCGCUGAAACUUAAAUUCUAAAAUGUCCAGCACUGCCUUUUUGUGCAUAAGGAAGGCUCAGCACACCAUAAAUGAUUUUCCUGUGUUCACUGAGACUGUACCUCAGCAGCGGAUUCAGAUGAAUUGCGAACGGAAAGGCCCGUUAUCCCUAAGUGGAAACGCCUGCGUUCCUCCAGGCAGGCGCACUGCAAGGUGUGUUUCAAGCCAAAGGCAUCAGCCGUCGCUGUGAGGAUACAAACAGGUUUAUCACCCCACACUUCUGGGCUAACACUCCCCAUCCCAGUGAGACUUGAGAGAUGCCCACAUGUCGGGACGGGCUUCCUGAAUCGGUGUAAAACCCCAGUGACUGUUCUUUGUUUCGAGCAGCAGUCAGACACUUGGGAUACUGAAGGGAAUAACCCCAAACCCAGUCAGCUGCUCCUUUGGCUGUGCCAUUAAUGUAUCGUGGAAUAACCCAGUACUUAGGCCUGAUUCUUUCUGAAAUAUAUAUCCCACUAGAUGUGUGUAUUUACACUUUUAAACGAGUAAUUGGCAGGAAAGAUCAUUGCCAGCUAGCGGAAAACACCGAACAACAGAAUAACAAUCAUGUGCUACUCUUAAUAGCAGGUCACCUGCUCUCUGCUGGAAGGUGAGGCCUAACUGCACCGAGCUAAGCCUGGGCAACAAUAAUAGAGUCUUUGUUGAAAUACCACCGCAUUGUUCAAAGGCUGGUGAGCCAACCCAGGGAAAACAAAAGGAAACGUUUCUAGCCCUUAAAAAUCACAGCAGAAUCACAGAGGUUGGCAGCAAAACAAGUCAGUCAUGCACAGAAUUUAAAAAAAAAAAGCCAACAGCGGCUUUUCUGUCGUGCAACUAAUAAAGAUUAUUCU